GAUGAACGCUAGCGGCAGGCUUAACACAUGCAAGUCGUGGGGCAGCGGGGACUUCGGUCCGCCGGCGACCGGCAAACGGGUGCGGAACACGUACGCAACCUCCCUCAGAGCGGGGAAUAGCCUCUCGAAAGAGAGAUUAAUACCCCAUAGCAUCUUAGAGACACACGUCUUUGAGAUUAAAGCUUCGGCACUUUGAGAUGGGCGUGCGGCUGAUUAGGUAGUUGGUAGGUAACGGCCUACCAAGCCAACGAUCAGUAGCUGAUGUGAGAGCAUGAUCAGCCACACGGGCACUGGAGACACGGGCCCGACUCCUACGGGAGGCAGCAGUGAGGAAUAUUGGUCAAUGGAGGAAACUCUGAACCAGCCAUGCCGCGUGGAGGAU
This 382-nucleotide ribosomal RNA is filed under the name uncultured bacterium. RNAcentral's name for it is "bacterial SSU rRNA". It matches the Rfam family "Bacterial small subunit ribosomal RNA", at positions 28 to 409 of the family's 1533-position model. The record is from RNAcentral.